GACGAACGCUGGCGGCGUGCUUAACACAUGCAAGUCGAACGGAAAGGCCCUGCUUGCUGGGUCCUCGAGUGGCGAACGGGUGAGUAACACGCGUGUGAUCUGCCCUGCACUUCGGGAUAGGCCUUGAAAACGGGGUCUAAUACCGGAUAGAGGCCAUUUUGAGUGUGAUGGUUGGAAAGUUUUUUCGGUGUAGGAUGAGCGCGCGGCCUAUCAGCUUGUUGGUGGGGUAAUGGUCUACCAAGGCGGCGGCGGGUAGCCGGCCUGGGAGGGUGGGCGGGAACAGCGAGACUGAGACACGGCCACGACCCAGACGCGUGGGAGAAGCGGCGAAGAUGAAUAUAGGGGAGCAGGCCUGAUGCAGCGCCGCCGAGGCGGGGUGGGUGAUGUAGGGGUUGGAGUUGUCUUUCGCUAGGGACGAAGAUUUUUGUGACAGUACCUAGAGAAGAAGCACCGGCUAACUACGUG
This 465-nucleotide ribosomal RNA is filed under the name uncultured bacterium. RNAcentral's name for it is "partial 16S ribosomal RNA". It matches the Rfam family "Bacterial small subunit ribosomal RNA", at positions 28 to 507 of the family's 1533-position model. The record is from RNAcentral.